RNAcentral lists this ribosomal RNA (705 nucleotides) under Phaeobacter sp. RNAcentral describes it as "bacterial SSU rRNA". It matches the Rfam family "Bacterial small subunit ribosomal RNA", at positions 43 to 795 of the family's 1533-position model. The record is from RNAcentral. Lineage: Bacteria; Pseudomonadati; Pseudomonadota; Alphaproteobacteria; Rhodobacterales; Roseobacteraceae.
CGGGGCGCUACCAUGCAGUCGAGCGCACUCUUCGGAGUGAGCGGCGGACGGGUUAGUAACGCGUGGGAACGUGCCCUUCUCUAAGGAAUAGCCACUGGAAACGGUGAGUAAUACCUUAUACGCCCUUCGGGGGAAAGAUUUAUCGGAGAAGGAUCGGCCCGCGUUAGAUUAGAUAGUUGGUGGGGUAAUGGCCUACCAAGUCUACGAUCUAUAGCUGGUUUUAGAGGAUGAUCAGCAACACUGGGACUGAGACACGGCCCAGACUCCUACGGGAGGCAGCAGUGGGGAAUCUUGGACAAUGGGCGCAAGCCUGAUCCAGCCAUGCCGCGUGAGUGAUGAAGGCCUUAGGGUCGUAAAGCUCUUUCGCCAGAGAUGAUAAUGACAGUAUCUGGUAAAGAAACCCCGGCUAACUCCGUGCCAGCAGCCGCGGUAAUACGGAGGGGGUUAGCGUUGUUCGGAAUUACUGGGCGUAAAGCGCACGUAGGCGGAUCAGAAAGUAUAGGGUGAAAUCCCAGGGCUCAACCCUGGAACUGCCUUGUAAACUCCUGGUCUUGAGUUCGAGAGAGGUGAGUGGAAUUCCGAGUGUAGAGGUGAAAUUCGUAGAUAUUCGGAGGAACACCAGUGGCGAAGGCGGCUCACUGGCUCGAUACUGACGCUGAGGUGCGAAAGUGUGGGGAGCAAACAGGAUUAGAUACCCUGGUAGUC